CGCGCAGGCGGGUUGACAAGUCAGAGGUGGAAUCCUACAGCUUAACUGUAGAACUGCCUUUGAGACUGUCAAUCUUGAGUACGGAAGAGAGAGAUGGAAUUCCAGGUGUAGUGGUGAAAUACGUAGAUAUCUGGAAGAACACCAGUGGCGAAGGCGAUCUCUUGGUCCAUUACUGACGCUGAGGCGCGAAAGCGUGGGGAGCAAACAGGAUUAGAUACCCUGGUAGUCC
This 229-nucleotide ribosomal RNA is filed under the name uncultured bacterium. RNAcentral's name for it is "partial 16S ribosomal RNA". It matches the Rfam family "Bacterial small subunit ribosomal RNA", at positions 568 to 796 of the family's 1533-position model. The record is from RNAcentral.